UUUUUCCUCAUUUUUCCAAUCUCCCUCACGAAGCUCUCUCUCUCUCUACUCUCUCCCCUCUUUUCUUCCUCUCUGCUUCCUCUCUUCCUUCUCUUCUCCCUCUCUGCUUCCUCUCUGUAACCCCUCCCAAAUGAAACCCUAGUUACUCCUGAGUCUCAUUCUCGCUUCUCUGAUCAAAAACCUCUGAGAGACCUAGUUCUACCUGCAAAACCCCCCCACUCAUCUCUUCUCUCUCUCUCUCUGUGUCUCUUCUCAAACUUCAGUUCUCUUCCCCAGCUCUGCAACUCAUGAAACCUUACGGUUUCAUACCUCUCCGUAACCUCCACCGUCAAACCCCUUUUCUGCUCUCGAGCAACACCAUUCUGAAACCCUAGGGUUUCCUGCAACUCUAAACCCUACCUCGUCUCAGUUCCCUCUCGCAAACAGAAUACCCUAGCUUCCUACUUCCCUUUCUCAACUCUCCUCAACACUUUCUCCAAAGAGGAAGUCCCAAAAGCCCUAACUUCGAACAGGUCGCUUCACUGAGAUCUCAAACCCUCAAGGUCAGAUCCAUCACUUUGGGGUCCUUCAGUGAGACUAUGGUGCAUCAGCGAACACCCGGGGGUGUUUCGAAACAGAGGGUCCACAUAAACCUCAGGGAAGCUCUUUCGACUUCCAAAAUGGUCACCAGGAAAAGAUAAGUUCCUAUUUUAUUUUUUAAAAAAAAUUAUAUUUUUUAUGUGUAUGAUCUUUGAGUGUGAUGUUAUUUGUGAUCUGUAUGUGGUUGUUUUGAUGAUCAUGGGUCUCAGAUUAGUUAAGGGUUUGGUUGCAAUAUUAGGGUCGAAGACGACUUACCUUGUCUCAACCCAAUGGGUCAAACCUGGGUUGACUCGUGUGAGUCAAACCCCUGGGGCGUGUUGACUCGGGUAAACCCGAGUGAGUUUGACACAGGUGGGCUUUGGGUUGAUUUAGAAAUGGGCCCAGCAUUAAAAUUUUUUAAAAGCGGGCAUUGGGUUAAUUUGAAAACAGGCCCAGGGUUAAUUUUUAAAAUGGGCCCAUGGUUAAUUUUUAAAACGAGCCCAUGGUUAAUUUCUAAAACGGGCCUCAGGGCUUUAUUUUUAAAAUGGGCACAGGGUUAAUUUAGAAAACAAGCCUGGGGCUUUAAAAUUAAACAUGGGCCUGGGGUUUGGAAUUUAAAUGGGGCCUAGGGUUUUACGAUUAAACACGGGCCUAGGGUUUGGAAUUUAAACCUAGGUUUGGGGUUCGGACGCUAAACUGGGCCUGGGGUUUGGGUGAUUCAGAUGGAAAGUUGGGAUUCAGUCUAAAGGGCUUGACCCAAGUUCGGGUGCAGGUUCGGGUUCGGUAGGGACUCAGGUCUCUGAUUCGGGGGUUUGUUUCAAAGGUUCAAACCCCAAUUCGGGUUUGGGUUCGAGUCAGGGGAUUUGAACCCCAGUUCGGGGUUCUGGUUUGGGACACUUGGUGCCUCAACUCUGAUUCAAAUGCGAAUCUGAGGCUGAGAUGUGGGUACCUGCAUCCAUGUUAGCAUACACAGGGCAUCAUGUAGAUGGUAGAGACAGGGUAGAGGGCUUUAAGUUUUACCUUUCCCUUUCCUCUCCUCCGUUCUUCUUUUCCCAUGGUUAGGGCUGUUCAGAAUGGACCACUUGGCUCUGCUUCUGAGCUCGGGGGAUCACUGCAGCUAUUGCAGUUAGUCUGAGAAUGGCUUCUCAAUCUUCCCGAUUCUACCUUGCUGAUAAUUACUCUCUCUCACUUAGCGCCCAGACGCCCUCUCACGGGAACCAGAGAGCAGUUCCUUUAUUCCCGAGAGGGAAUAUCAUAACCAAAUUCCUUCUGCGCAUGCUUUUCCUUUUUAUUUAUUUUUCUGAAGUUUCAGUUAGCCUCUAACAAACUGAAUCUCUUCUCUUUAUUUGUUUUUAGGUGAACAAGGGGCUUCAUGGACGUUCCAACUAUUCCAGUUAGCAGCCAAAGAUUGGUUUUGCUCCCUUUUUUUUUUUUUUUUUUUUGAAAAAAAAAAAAGAUUUUCCUUGUAUUUUGUAAUAUUCUGCAUUUUCUUUCCCUGUAUUUGGUAUUUUCCUGUAUGUAUUUCCUUUCCCGUAAGAGUUUGGUAUUUCCCUGUAUUUCUUUCAUCUCCCUGUAUGAAUUUGGUAUUUCCCUGUAUUUCUUUUAGUUUGUAAUCUCUUCCUGCAUGCACAUUUUUUUUGUUUUUCCCAAUAUGUAUUGGCGAAGCAGUUUGCCAACUCCCUCUGUAAUCCCACUUAAGUCAUGUGCCCUUUUUUUUUAAUCUAAUAAAGUGCAUUUUUCCACAUCAAA
This is a long non-coding RNA of Malania oleifera, 2307 nucleotides long. RefSeq lists it as uncharacterized. NCBI's taxonomy places the organism in Eukaryota, Viridiplantae, Streptophyta, Magnoliopsida, Santalales, Ximeniaceae. The record is from RefSeq and is a predicted model, not a curated record. The transcript is spliced from 2 exons.